UGUGUGUUUGUGUAUGUUGAAAAGGGGGAGGGUGGUAACAAAACAUAAGAUGGCAUAACCAAAACUCUUGGCUAUCAAUUAAAGAACCUAUAAGACAGCAUACUGAAGCCAACUUAACAAUCCUACUACGGAUAUGAAUGUGGCGGACGGAAAAGAAUCAUCUAACUGCAGCAAAACACUUAAAAAGACUACCACUAACUCUAAAAUGCGGUAAAAAAAUUCUAAAAUACGGUAAAAAAAAUUAUGAAGCUAAAAUCCAGACAGACUGCUUAAAGAAAUGAGAAAAAAAAUCCAAUGAGAUGCAUUUCUAAAAUCUGCCCUUACGAAAUAGAAACACGAACAUAAACACAGUACAUCACACACAUAUACAUUGCAUUGCACGGAACACAUUAGUGCACACACUUUCAUAUCUU
RNAcentral lists this long non-coding RNA (413 nucleotides) under Erythranthe guttata (spotted monkey flower). RNAcentral describes it as "long non-coding RNA (EGUT_LNC003654)". Lineage: Eukaryota; Viridiplantae; Streptophyta; Magnoliopsida; Lamiales; Phrymaceae. The record is from RNAcentral.